RNAcentral lists this ribosomal RNA (497 nucleotides) under uncultured bacterium. RNAcentral describes it as "partial 16S ribosomal RNA". It matches the Rfam family "Bacterial small subunit ribosomal RNA", at positions 28 to 507 of the family's 1533-position model. The record is from RNAcentral.
GAUGAACGCUGGCGGCGUGCCUAAUACAUGCAAGUCGAGCGAACGGACGAGAAGCUUGCUUCUCUGAUGUUAGCGGCGGACGGGUGAGUAACACGUGGAUAACCUACCUAUAAGACUGGGAUAACUUCGGGAAACCGGAGCUAAUACCGGAUAAUAUUUUGAACCGCAUGGUUCAAAAGUGAAAGACGGUCUUGCUGUCACUUAUAGAUGGAUCCGCGCUGCAUUAGCUAGUUGGUAAGGUAACGGCUUACCAAGGCAACGAUGCAUAGCCGACCUGAGAGGUUGAUCGGCCACACUGGAACUGAGACACGGUCCAGACUCCUACGGGGGGCAGCAGUAGGGAAUCUUCCGCAAUGGGCGAAAGCCUGACGGAGCAACGCCGCGUGAGUGAUGAAGGUCUUCGGAUCGUAAAACUCUGUUAUUAGGGAAGAACAUAUGUGUAAGUAACUGUGCACAUCUUGACGGUACCUAAUCAGAAAGCCACGGCUAACUACGUG